RNAcentral lists this ribosomal RNA (253 nucleotides) under uncultured bacterium. RNAcentral's name for it is "partial 16S ribosomal RNA". It matches the Rfam family "Bacterial small subunit ribosomal RNA", at positions 524 to 776 of the family's 1533-position model. The record is from RNAcentral.
UCCGUAGGUGGCAAUCGUUACUCGGAAUCACUAGGCGUAAAGCGCAGGUAGGAGGUUUGAUAAGUCUGUUGUGAAAGCUCCCGGCUUAACUGGGAGAGGUCAACGGAAACUGUCAGGCUGGAGUGCGGUAGAGGUAGCUGGAAUUCCCGGUGUAGUGGUGAAAUGCGUAGAUAUCGGGAGGAAUACCUAUGGCGAAAGCAGGCUACUGGACCGUCACUGACUCUGAUCUGCGAAAGCUAGGGGAGAAAACAGG